UACGGGGGGGGCAAGCGUUGUUCGGAAUUACUGGGCGUAAAGGGCUCGUAGGCGGCCAACUAAGUCGGACGUGAAAUCCCCAGGCUCAACGGGGAACUGCGUCUGAUACUGGAUGGCUUGAAUCCGGGAGAGGGAUGCAGAAUUCCAGGUGUAGCGGUGAAAUGCGUAGAUAUCUGGAGGAAUACCGGUGGCGAAGGCGGCAUCCUGGACCGGCAUUGACGCUGAGGAGCGAAAGCUAGGGGAGCAAACGGG
Molecule: ribosomal RNA, 252 nt
Filed under: uncultured bacterium
Lineage: Bacteria
Description: partial 16S ribosomal RNA
Rfam family: Bacterial small subunit ribosomal RNA
Source: RNAcentral